CAAAAGUCUGAUCCAGCAAUUCUGUGUGCACGAUGACGGUCUUCGGAUUGUAAAGUGCUUUCAGGUGGGAAGAAAAAAGUGACGGUACCACCAGAAGAAGCGACGGCUAAAUACGUGCCAGCAGCCGCGGUAAUA
RNAcentral lists this ribosomal RNA (135 nucleotides) under uncultured Fusobacteriaceae bacterium. RNAcentral's name for it is "partial 16S ribosomal RNA". It matches the Rfam family "Bacterial small subunit ribosomal RNA", at positions 376 to 525 of the family's 1533-position model. The record is from RNAcentral. Lineage: Bacteria; Fusobacteriati; Fusobacteriota; Fusobacteriia; Fusobacteriales; Fusobacteriaceae.